This 3156-nucleotide long non-coding RNA is filed under the name Homo sapiens (human). RNAcentral describes it as "non-protein coding lnc-RPP40-8:1". The record is from RNAcentral. Lineage: Eukaryota; Metazoa; Chordata; Mammalia; Primates; Hominidae.
UAGAAUGUGAGUAGGGGAGGGGAGAAGGGAAACAUCCAGGUACAAGGAGCAGAGAAUAAAGACGGGAGCACAGCGUGCCUGUGGGACCUGGAUGAGCCUUGGAGCAGAGGCAUCUGUUGGAAGAAGUAGCUGAAUAGAUUGGAUGGGCCUGUGAAACGAGGCCCUAAAAGCCACUGGGUUCCUCCCUCCCUCCCUCCCUGUUUUAGAGGUUUAGAGAUAAAACUGGUGAAAUUAAAAGGGACCAAAAAAGCAGUGGUUCUCAAUCCUGGUGGCACAUGAGAAAAUUAAGGAUGCUGGACUCAUUCUCCAGAAAUUCUCAUGUAAUUGGUCUGGAAAGGGGAUCUAAAUGUAGUUUCCUUCCUUCCUUCCUUCCUUCCCUCCCUCCCUCCCUCCUUCCCUCCCUCCCUUUCUCCCUCCCUUCCUCCUUUCUUUCCUUUUAUUCUUCUUUCGAUCCUUCCUCUUUCUCUUUCUGCAGAGCAGCAAUCAAAAUGGAAAAGAAAUGAACAUAAAGAGAUUUGUUUUGUUUUGUUAUUAAAAAUAUAUGGCCAGGUGUGGUGGCUCAUAACUGUAAUCCCAGUACUUUGGGAGGACAAGGUGGGCAGAUCACUUGAGACCAGAAAACAUUCUUUUGAUUAUACCUAAAACAUCUGCAAUAAUAGAUCACAUAUUAGGCCAUAAAGGAAGUUUCAGUAAGUUCCAAGGAAUCAAUCCCAUUCUGACAAUGUUUUCCAACUACAAUGCCAUCACAGAAUUAAUAUUUUUUAAAAGAUGGCUAAAAUAAAGUCCUGCUUAUAUUAACAAAAAAGUUAAAAACAAAUGAGGUUUCCUAAUAAGAUAUUAUCUCAUAUGAUAAAAUGCACACAUUUUAGAAGUCUGAUUUUUUAAGGUCUUGAAUGCCCAGGUAAGGGAUUUGGAUGGCUGGAGGUCAUACAAUACAGUAAACAGUUUAACAGACAGCCGGGGGCUGUGGCUCACGCCUGUAAUCCCAGCACUUUGGGAGGCCGAGGAGGGCAGAUCACGAGGUCAAGAGAUCAAGACCAUCCUGGCCAACGUGGUGAAACCCAGUCUCUAUUAAAAAUACAAAAAAUUAGUGUGGUGUCACAUGCCUGUAGUCCCAGCUACUCAGGAGGCUGAGGCAGGAGCCUCUUCUUGGAUAUUUGACUUCAUGGAAUGCAUCUUUUCCUUAAAAAAACCUGAUUGAGGCCCUUAUUGUAGAAAACACCUGGUAGUUGGUGCCUCUGUUUUAUCUUCCAACUCUGGUCUCCAUCCUGAACACUGUAACCAAGUUAGGCUCUGUUCAGCAUUGCUUUCACCAUUCUGUUCCUUCCACAAAAGCUUUUGGCGAGUCCCCACUGGCCUGAGGUGAAAAUCUGAAUGCUUUACAUUAGAGUUCAUGUCUCACUGUCACCCAGGCUGGAGUGCAGUGGUGCCAUCUCGACUCACUGCAGGCUCUGCCUCCAGGAUUCAAGCGAUUCUUAUUCCUCAGCCUCCAGAGUAAAGCCCGCCUUGGCCUCCCAAAGUGCUGGGAUUACAGGCCUGAGCCACCAUACCCGGCCUAAUUGUAGUUUUAAAACUCUUAAAUUCCCAGAGCUCUUUGUUCAAAUGGAAUCUCUUGUUCAAAAACAUUGUAGCUCCAUCCAUCAGGCAGAUGACCUCCACUGGGCCUCUCGCCUGACCCUCCUCUGGUGGUUUGCUCAUCAGUCAGGGACCCUGCCUCAUAAAAGGCCGUAAAAUGAGUGAGUUUUUUAAGGAAGAGAGGAGAAGAGCUUCUAGGAGGAGGAGGUGGGUGGGUGGCCAAUGGGGUGUGAUAUGGUUAGGCUUUGUGUCCCUAUCCAAAUCUCAUUUUGUCUUUUUUCUUUUUUUUGAGAUGGAGUCUCAUGCUCUAGGAUUACAGGCACCUGCCACCACACCCAGCUAAUUUUUGUAUUUUCUCUACAGAUGGGGUUUUGCCAUGUUGGCCAGGCUGGUCUUGAACUCCCAUUUUGAAUUGUAAUCCUCAGAUGUCAAGGGAGAAAAGUAAUUGAAUGAUGGGAGUAGUUUCCCCCAUGCUGUUCACGUGAUAAUGAGUGAAUUCUCACGAGAUCUGAUGGAGGAAGUUGGCUUCCCAAGACAUGUGGAAUUUAAGCCUCUUUUCUUUAUAAAUUAUCCAGUCUUGGGCAAUUCUUUAUAGCAGUGUGAAAACGGACUAAUACAGGGUGAAUGUUAUUAACUACAGUUCCUGGGGAGGAUAAAAGGUGAGAAGCAGUCAGGACUUUGGAAUUCAGGUCACCUUGCAGUAUGUAUGAUGUGGAUGGGUGGUUUUCAUGGGCCUGAGAGCUGAGUGGGAAGUGAGAAGUCUCCUUUACCUUUCUGGGACUUCAUGGAGAUCAUUUCAAUCUGAUCAGGAUGUUUUUCUAAUAAAAAUCACUGGGAACAGGGAUUCCUCUGGGCAAAUCCCCCAACCUCAUCCCUUUCAGGGAUUGAGAAAUCUCCCAACCAUUUUCCUGAUGGCAGCUGAUCAGACCAGCUUCUGUACAGAUUUGCCUUGAUGUCAGCAUCAGAGAGGUCAUCUUUAGCCACGAUCAAGUCAUCCAGGGUUACAUCAUCUGCCAGCAUCAUCCUGCUUGUGUGAAUCUGAAAGAUGCACUUCUUAGUCUUUUCAUCAGGCAGGGGGAACUUGAUCUUCCUGCCAGUGCGGCCUGGUCUGAUAAGUGCUGGAUCCAAAGUUUCUCUUCAGUUUGUGGUCAUGAUAUCUUUCACAUCUCCCCUAGAAUCAAAUCCAUCCAACUGGUUCAACAGUUCCAACAUUGUUUGCUGAAUUUCUCUCUCACCACCAGAAUUUGAGUCAUAUCUUUUUGUCCCAAUGGCGUCAGUUUCAUCAGUAAACACGAUGGAUGGUGCAUGUUCUCCAGCAACUUGAAACAAUUCCCGUACAAGUUUGGGCCCAUCACCUAGGUACUUCUGAAUAAGUUCAGAGCCAACCACUUUCAAGAAAGUGGCUGAGGUUUGGUUUGCUACCGCUUUGGCUAGCAAGGUUUUAACUAUGCCAGGUGGACCAUAGAGAAUGACCCCCUUAGGAGGCUUUAUACCCAUCUCUUCAUAAUGUUCAGCAUGGGUGAGAGGAAGCUCCACAGAUUCCUUAAUUUCCUGAAUUUGAUUAUCCAACCUCCCAGUAUU